UACAGAGGGUGCGAGCGUUGUCCGGAAUCACUGGGCGUAAAGGGCGCGUAGGCGGCCUGAUAAGUCGGGGGUGAAAUCCUGUGGCUCAACUGCAGGGCUGCCUCCUAGACUGUCGGGCUUGAGCACGGUAGAGGCAGAUGGAAUUCCCGGUGUAGCGGUGGAAUGCGUAGAGAUCGGGAAGAACAUCGGUGGCGAAAGCGCUCUACUGGACGGUGACUGACACUCAGGGACGAAAGCUAGGGGAGCGAAUGGG
Molecule: ribosomal RNA, 253 nt
Filed under: uncultured bacterium
Lineage: Bacteria
Description: partial 16S ribosomal RNA
Rfam family: Bacterial small subunit ribosomal RNA
Source: RNAcentral